CUUGCUCCGGAAGAUCUAGUGGCGAACGGGUGCGUAACACGUGAGAAACCUGCCCUAAACUUGGGAAUAACAGUCGGAAACGACUGCUAAUACCGAAUAUCUUCACGACGUCGCCUGGCGAUGUGAAGAAAGCUUUAUGCGGUUUAGGAGGGUCUCGCGGCCUAUCAGCUAGUUGGUGAGGUAAUGGCUCACCAAGGCAUCGACGGGUAGCUGGUCUGAGAGGAUGAUCAGCCACACUGGGACUGAGACACGGCCCAGACUCC
Molecule: ribosomal RNA, 263 nt
Filed under: unidentified marine bacterioplankton
Lineage: Bacteria
Also listed under: 1 other name
Description: partial 16S ribosomal RNA
Rfam family: Bacterial small subunit ribosomal RNA
Source: RNAcentral